AUUGAACGCUGGCGGCAGGCCUAACACAUGCAAGUCGAGCGGAUGAGAGGAGCUUGCUCCUUGAUUCAGCGGCGGACGGGUGAGUAAUGCCUAGGAAUCUGCCUGGUAGUGGGGGAUAACGUUCCGAAAGGAACGCUAAUACCGCAUACGUCAUACGGGAGAAAGCAGGGGACCUUCGGGCCCUGCGCUAUCAGAUGAGCCUAGGUCGGAGUAGCUAGUUGGUGAGGUAAUGGCUCACCAAGGCGACGAACCGUAACUGGUCUGAGAGGAUGAUCAGUCACACUGGAACUGAGACACGGUCCAGACUCCUACGGGAGGCAGCAGUGGUGAAUAUUGGACAAUGGGCGAAAGCCUGAUCCAGCCAUGCCGCGUGUGUGAAGAAGGUCUUCGGAUUGUAAAGCACUUUAAGUUGGGAGGAAGGGCAGUAAGUUAAUACCUUGCUGUUUUGACGUUACCAACAGAAUAAGCACCGGCUAACUUCGUGCCAGCCGCCGCCGUAA
This 500-nucleotide ribosomal RNA is filed under the name uncultured bacterium. RNAcentral's name for it is "partial 16S ribosomal RNA". It matches the Rfam family "Bacterial small subunit ribosomal RNA", at positions 30 to 523 of the family's 1533-position model. The record is from RNAcentral.